Cucurbita maxima (winter squash) is the source of this 1059-nucleotide long non-coding RNA. RefSeq lists it as uncharacterized. The transcript is spliced from 4 exons. The record is from RefSeq and is a predicted model, not a curated record. Lineage: Eukaryota; Viridiplantae; Streptophyta; Magnoliopsida; Cucurbitales; Cucurbitaceae.
UUUAUGUGUCCUCCCCCUGCUAACUGACACGCUUUACGAGAGUUCGGUGUCAGCAAAAAAUGAAAGGGGGAAAGUGCUCCAAUAUAAAAGCUUAAAAGAUGCGUCCUUUUUUAGCAGAUUCGCUGCUUGUGAGCCUCUCAAUCUUUUUUUCAUAACAAAGCAGCCGACCCCACCCUCUUAGUUCCGGGGCGUCUUGCUCCUGCUCGAAGGGCUAACGACCAAGCGGCUCCCUUUAGUCUUAUCUUUCCCUUUUGCCCACACAGGAUUACCAACGCAUGGCUUCCGAUAAUUCUUCUGCCUCAGCCUCAGAUUUAUCUGUCAAGAGGUCGAGGGACGAAGACCAAAAUGGAACUCCACCCUCUUCACAACCUGAUUCUAUUUCUUCCGUCAUCCCCGGAUGGUUCUCCGAGAUCAGCCCAAUGUGGCCUGGAGAGGCACAUUCAUUGAAAGUAGAGAAGAUUUUAUUUCGAGGGAAUUCUGACUAUCAGGAUGUUAUGGUCUUUCAGCAUUAGAAUGGUGGUUUGGCUGAAAUUGAAACCCCAGAUUCAAUCCAUGGUCGGGAGGAGUUGAGAACCUUUCAUGUGAUAUAUAACUGACAUAUAUUAGUAUUGGUAGUUGGGAGUUUUUUCUCUUCUUACAUCUAAUUCCUUGAAAUUUUGUGGCCCAGUGGAGUGAUUGGUUUUAUGCUGUGCUCUACCGAGGGACCUGCUGUUGAUUUCAAACACCCGAUAAAUUCAAUCGAUGUUAAUGAUAUUAACAACAAGUCUAGAGGGCCCUUGAGAUUUUAGAAUUCUGAGAUUCACACGGCAGCUUUCUGUUUGCCAUCUUUCGCCAAGAAGGUUAUUGAUUCAAGAGUAAAAUGAGGAUUGAAUCGGGGGAGUAGGUUGUGGCUCUUCAUUUUGAACCAAAUGCCUUGUCUACCCCGACACUGCAGAUCAACCAAGGCAUUUUCCUUCUUUAACUUUCCCUUAUUCAGCAAUUCAGUUGUUCUAUUAUUCUGCUGCUGCUGCUUAAUACAAUACGACUUUUUCGCCCAUAGCAUAGCCCUUUGUUCAUAAA